Molecule: small nucleolar RNA, 80 nt
Organism: Lolium rigidum
Lineage: Eukaryota; Viridiplantae; Streptophyta; Magnoliopsida; Poales; Poaceae
Product: small nucleolar RNA SNORD18
Exons: 1
Source: RefSeq, a predicted model, not a curated record
GGAAAAUGAUGAUUAACAAUUGGUCCGUGUUUCUGAUAUCUUGUGAUGAUUUCCAAUGAAACACUCAAUUCACUGAUUCU